RNAcentral lists this long non-coding RNA (239 nucleotides) under Elaeis guineensis (African oil palm). RNAcentral's name for it is "long non-coding RNA (EGUI_LNC066696)". Lineage: Eukaryota; Viridiplantae; Streptophyta; Magnoliopsida; Arecales; Arecaceae. The record is from RNAcentral.
CCAGAGGAUGGAGGAAUCGUGCAGUAUCCAUCGCAGAAAGUGGAGCAGGAUCAUGGCCAUUAUUGUGGUCUGCCAGGGAGUGAUGGAGCCACAUGGAAUUCAUCGCAGAAAGUGGAGUAGAGUCAUGGCCGUUACUGCAGCCCGUCAUGAAGUGAUGGAGCUGCACAGAAUACGUCGCAGGAAGUGGAGCAGAGUCGUGGCCAUUGCUGCAGCCUGCUAGAGGGUCCAGGCCUGUCGGC